Molecule: ribosomal RNA, 450 nt
Filed under: Eusandalum sp. M220
Lineage: Eukaryota; Metazoa; Arthropoda; Insecta; Hymenoptera; Eupelmidae
Description: partial 16S ribosomal RNA
Rfam family: Archaeal large subunit ribosomal RNA
Source: RNAcentral
CUGCUCAAUGAAAAUUUUAAAUAGCUGCAGUAUUUUGACUGUACAAAGGUAGCAUAAUCAUUUGUCUUUUUAAUGAAGUCUAGAAUGAAUGGUUUGAUGAAAUAAUGACUGUCUCAAAUUAAUUUGUUGAAUUUUAUUUUAAGUAAAAAUUCUUAAAAUUAUUUAAAAGACGAGAAGACCCUAUAGAAUUUUAUUAAUUUUGUUAUUUUAUAAUAAAUAACAAAAUUAUUUUUGAUGGGGUAUUAGUAAAAUUUAAUGAAUUUUUAUAAUUUUAAAUCAUAAAUUAAUGAAUUGUGUAUCCAAUAAUAUUGAAUUUAAAAGAAAUUACCUUAGGGAUAACAGCGUAAUUAUUUUGGAAAGUUCUUAUUGAUAAAAUAGAUUGCGACCUCGAUGUUGAAUUAAGAUUAAUUAUUAAUGUAGAAGUUAUAAGAUUUAGUCUGUUCGACUAUU